AUUUCGAUAGCUCAAAUAAGAGCUUUACAUUGAAGCUGUGAAGGUAGUUUAACUUCGUAAUA
This 62-nucleotide transfer RNA is filed under the name Pseudoniphargus mercadali. RNAcentral's name for it is "tRNA-Phe". The record is from RNAcentral. Lineage: Eukaryota; Metazoa; Arthropoda; Malacostraca; Amphipoda; Allocrangonyctidae.